This 147-nucleotide ribosomal RNA is filed under the name uncultured Thermovirga sp. RNAcentral describes it as "partial 16S ribosomal RNA". It matches the Rfam family "Bacterial small subunit ribosomal RNA", at positions 1239 to 1382 of the family's 1533-position model. The record is from RNAcentral. Lineage: Bacteria; Thermotogati; Synergistota; Synergistia; Synergistales; Thermovirgaceae.
ACAGCGGGAAGCGAGGGGCGACCUUGAGCGGAUCCCUACAAAGCCGGUCUCAGUUCCGGAUUGCAGUCUGGCAACUCGACUGCAUGAAGUUGGAAUCGCUAGUAAUCGUGGAUCAGCCAAGCCGCGGUGAAUACGUUCCCGGGCCUU